ACGCUGGCGGCGUGCCUAAUACAUGCAAGUAGGACGCACAGUUUAUACCGUAGCUUGCUACACCAUAGACUGUGAGUUGCGAACGGGUGAGUAACGCGUAGGUAACCAGCCUAUUAGAGGGGGAUAACUAUUGGAAACGAUAGCUAAUACCGCAUAACAGUAUGUAACACAUGUUAGAUGCUUGAAAGAUGCAAUUGCAUCGCUAGUAGAUGGACCUGCGUUGUAUUAGCUAGUAGGUAGGGUAAUGGCCUACCUAGGCGACGAUACAUAGCCGACCUGAGAGGGUGAUCGGCCACACUGGGACUGAGACACGGCCCAGACUCCUACGGGAGGCAGCAGUAGGGAAUCUUCGGCAAUGGGGGGAACCCUGACCGAGCAACGCCGCGUGAGUGAAGAAGGUUUUCGGAUCGUAAAGCUCUGUUGUUAAGGAAGAACGAGUGUGAGAAUGGAAAGUUCAUACUGUGACGGUACUUAACCAGAAAGGGACGGCUAACUACGUGCCAGCAGCCGCGGUAAUACGUAGGUCCCGAGCGUUGUCCGGAUUUAUUGGGCGUAAAGCGAGCGCAGGCGGUUAGAAAAGUCUGAAGUGAAAGGCAGUGGCUCAACCAUUGUAGGCUUUGGAAACUGUUUAACUUGAGUGCAGAAGGGGAGAGUGGAAUUCCAUGUGUAGCGGUGAAAUGCGUAGAUAUAUGGAGGAACACCGGUGGCGAAAGCGGCUCUCUGGUCUGUAACUGACGCUGAGGCUCGAAAGCGUGGGGAGCGAACAGGAUUAGAUACCCUGGUAGUCCACGCCGUAAACGAUGAGUGCUAGGUGUUAGGUCCUUUCCGGGACUUAGUGCCGCAGCUAACGCAUUAAGCACUCCGCCUGGGGAGUACGACCGCAAGGUUGAAACUCAAAGGAAUUGACGGG
Molecule: ribosomal RNA, 910 nt
Filed under: uncultured bacterium
Lineage: Bacteria
Description: bacterial SSU rRNA
Rfam family: Bacterial small subunit ribosomal RNA
Source: RNAcentral